CGUUCGGACGACCACAGCGGCUGGAUAGCUGAGCCAGCAGUAGCUGUCAGACGUCACCGCUGGAAGCCAGCCGCUGAGAGAUUUACUAAGCUUUCCCUAUCACGGCUGGAUGCAACCACUCAGCCGAUUUCUGCUGCCAGCCAGCCGCUAUGGUCGUCCGAACGCACCCACUGUUUACAUUGGACAUUGACAUUUAUUUGUAGAUGUUGUUAGACGAAUAUUCUGUUUGGUUUUGUUUUUUAUUGUUAAUUGUGCAGCGAAAUUGUGAUAGUAAAUUAAAUAUAAAGUUGUUUAUAGCCUACAGAACUGAAUUAUCCCAUAGUAAUUAUCAGUUUGUGUCAAUUUGUUUGUGUGCAAAAAAGAAAAAACACCUUUCCUUGUGUUUGACCGACUUGUAGCAAGGGCUUUCUUGAGAAGCCUGUAAAUUGCGGGAAUAGGACAGACAGGGAUAAAAUCCUCACUUUUUACUGUUCCCAAGGCUAUACAUUUCCCCCAUGCAAUACAUUUAAAUGAAUUUUAUCCAAACAAAGGCAGGAACAUUGGAUAAAAGCAAUAAAGAGAACAGACCACAAAUUAAAAUAUGAGAGUAUGUAGUAAACAUUUUAUAAGUGGAAUAAACACCAGCUAUUUUAAAUGUAGGAAAAGGAGAAACUGCUGGAAUCUAAUUUUACACAAAUGUUUUUGACUAUUGAAGAUUUGGAUAAACAACAGAAGUUACUUUGGGCUAUAGCUAUGUGCAGAUUUAUUUCCUUGUGGAUUACUAUGUUUAUUCUUUUUAACUAUACUUCCUAUAUUGUUUGUGAGAUUAAUAUUAUUAUUUAAUUGAUUAUAUUAAUAUUUUGUAAUAAUAAUCAAUGCUUUGGUUUAACAAAUAGACAACUUAGAAUAGAAAAA
Diabrotica virgifera virgifera (western corn rootworm) is the source of this 894-nucleotide long non-coding RNA. RefSeq lists it as uncharacterized. NCBI's taxonomy places the organism in Eukaryota, Metazoa, Arthropoda, Insecta, Coleoptera, Chrysomelidae. The record is from RefSeq and is a predicted model, not a curated record. The transcript has 2 exons.